CCCGCUGAACUUAAGCAUAUCAAUAAGCGGAGGAAAAGAAACUAACAAGGAUUCCCCUAGUAACGGCGAGUGAAGCGGGAUGAGCUCAAAUUUAAAAUCUGGUAGUCUUUGGCUGCCCGAGUUGUAAUCUAGAGAAGUGUUUUCCGCGCUGGACUGUGUACAAGUUUCCUGGAUAUGGAACAUCAUAGAGGGUGAGAAUCCCGUCCUUGACACAGACUCCCAGUGCUUUGUGAUGCGCUCUCGACGAGUCGAGUUGUUUGGGAAUGCAGCUCUAAAUGGGAGGUAAAUUUCUUCUAAAGCUAAAUACUGGCCAGAGACCGAUAGCGCACAAGUAGAGUGAUCGAAAGAUGAAAAGCACUUUGGAAAGAGAGUCAAAUAGCACGUGAAAUUGUUGAAAGGGAAGCGCUUGCAGCCAGACUUGCCUGUAGUUGCUCAUCCGGGCUUUUUGCCCGGUGCAUUCUUCUGUAGGCAGGCCAGCAUCAGUUUGGGCGGUUGGAUAAAGGUCUCUGUCAUGUACCUCCUUUCGGGGAGGCCUUAUAGGGGAGGCGACAUGCAACCAGCCUGGACUGAGGUCCGCGCAUCUGCUAGGAUGCUGGCGUAAUGGCUGUAAGCGGCCCGUCUUGAAACACGG
Molecule: ribosomal RNA, 631 nt
Filed under: uncultured fungus
Lineage: Eukaryota; Fungi
Description: eukaryotic LSU rRNA
Rfam family: Eukaryotic large subunit ribosomal RNA
Source: RNAcentral